Molecule: long non-coding RNA, 1813 nt
Organism: Anser cygnoides (Swan goose)
Lineage: Eukaryota; Metazoa; Chordata; Aves; Anseriformes; Anatidae
Source: Ensembl
AUGUAUCUGGAACUGUUCACUGGUACAGAGGCCAAAUGGUAUAGAAUGACCCAUAUUCAUACUAUUAAAUGCUCUUACCCUCCAAAACAGUGUAGCCACAUCCAAACUGCCUUGUGGGAAUUGUUUCUGGCACACAUUAACUCCCCUGCCAUGCCCAGGAUCUCUUUGGAGGAAGGUAAUUUGGCUGAUGUCAAAACCAUCCAAGAGCAUACUUGGACAGUGCAAGUGUCGACACUCCAGCACCAGUGCCUGGGAAUGCUCCCUGGUAUGGGUUAUCUUACUGGCACAAGCAGAAAUGAAACAUUCUCCCCAACAGGCACAGAAUUGCCCCAGGUUGCAGUGAGCGGAGAUCUGGAGUGGGAUGGCAUCUAUGCAGUUCUACACAAUCCAUGGUGCAGGCGUGUACUGCUCAGCUCUUCCCCAGCCCUUUUCUCUCCAUAAUUCCUAUAUCCACCCUCAUGUUUUCUCAUGCCCCUCAUGUUUUCUCUCUUUCUCCUUCAGUUCCUUCAUCCUUUUCAGCUGUUAUGUACCUGAAUGAAUAGUUGGUUGAGGUGAUGAGAAGAAUGGGUGAGAGGGGAACAUGAAAGUUGGGGAGAGGAAAAUUAUUGCUUCUCAGUGUGUAACAUUUAUUAGUAUGCGUAACUCAUAAUAGUGUUCUGUUGUUAUUCCCAAAUUUCUGAAGCUUGCACCACUGCCCUCAAGGUGUUCCCAGCUUUCCAAAUACACAUGUGCCUUGUGUUUGAGUGGUUUGUGGUAAAUUUGCUUUUUUACAAUGGUCUCCUUAUGAGAGCAAAUGAGAAGAAGCAGCUCAGAUUACUACAAAUUGUUAUUUAUUUAUUUAUUUAUUCAUUCAUUCUGAAGACUGAGUUACAGGGCUUUGAGUACCUACCAUCUAGGACUGUUGCAGGGAAAAAGUGUUUUCAGGGAGUUCUGAAUCAAAACCACAGGUAUUCACAGUACAGCAGUGAAUGUUUUAAAUAAGAGCUUUGGGUUAGUCACCUACCACACCACAAAAUCCUUUUAUUUGAUAUAAUACAAAAAAACAGAAGCAAAAAAAACAAGGAAAGGAUGUUAAUGGUGAUAAAGGCUGAGAUAAAUGUUUUUGUUAUUACAGAACUGGAGGUAGAUUUGCAUACUGGCACCCUGUCUGGAAGCUUGUGCUGUCAACUGGCUAACUGAAUUCAGAGUAGAAUAGGUAAGUAGAUAUACUGUGGUUGACCUUUGUGCAAAAAUACCUAAGAAGACAUGGGGUCAAAUUGUGAACUGAAAUUGAGCACAAGUUACCAAUAUUAAAAACACUAUGGUAGUAAAUUAAAUAUCUUGAGGAAAACAGACAUUCUAUAUUUUAAACAAUUAUUUCAGAUUAAUUUAAAAGUGCAUUUAUGGAAAGGAACCUUACUGUGGCGUUUGUUCACAAUAAUUUUAGUAGUGAAGCUAUAAGCAUUCCAUAACAAUUAUAUAGGAAUUACUCAUGAUAUUUAAUGUCUACUUUCUUGUUCACGUUUUCUUUCCUUUCUUUCUUUCUUUUCUUUCUUUCUUUAUCUUUCUUUCUUCCUUCCUUCCUUCCUUUUUCUUUCUUUCUUUCUUUCUUUCUUUCUUUCUUUCUUUCUUUCUUUCUUUCUUUCUUUCUUUCUUUCUUUUUUCAGUUUGUGUAAAAUAAGAUAAAUAUCAGGGAUUACUCUACAAGCUUUUGUAAACAUUAAGGGUGUAUUUAACAUUUAAUCUCUUCAUGUAGACAUUAAAAUCCUGCUUAUUUUAGAGAACUUUCUUAAGAUGGAAUAAAUUGCCCUCUGGAAGUGUCUGUGUCUCUUCA